UGGGGGGUGCACGCCGGAAUCGUUGGAUUCCCUUCUAUGUCAGUUUUCUCUAUUCUUGAGCAUAUAUGUAUAUAUAUACCCAUUCAUGCAUAGUAGGGUAGAUACAUGUGGAACUUGGUUUGACUUCAUUUAUAUGUUUCUAACGUAGUUGAACAUAGUGGACGAUAGAACCAAAAUGGACAUGUGUGAUUGGACCCUCAAGUUGUGUGAAUGUGAGGUUGGACUUGGACAAUAGAAAACAAGGGUGACAUUGACAUAGAAACAAGAUUGGCAUUGAGAGAUAAAUCGUUAAACAUAGUUUAACCAAAUUAUAGCAUCAUCACGGGUAUGGCCUUGAGAGUGGCAAGAAUGAAUAGGUAGAGACCUAUCAUGACAUCGGCAUUGUGACCAGUGGCUAUGAAUCCUCAAGUUGGGGAUUAGAUCGAUACUCACAUUACGUCUUGGCUUGAGGGAGGUCGCUCCCCCUCGAGCGGUGCGCUCCGGAGUUGGUCACCACUGGGCGAGGUAAAGUCCCACCAGUUGACGGUCCCUAGGGAGAUUCGAGUCCCCCGUUAUUAAGG
RNAcentral lists this long non-coding RNA (560 nucleotides) under Ananas comosus (pineapple). RNAcentral describes it as "long non-coding RNA (ACOM_LNC015132)". The record is from RNAcentral. Lineage: Eukaryota; Viridiplantae; Streptophyta; Magnoliopsida; Poales; Bromeliaceae.